This 405-nucleotide long non-coding RNA is filed under the name Gopherus agassizii (Agassiz's desert tortoise). RNAcentral's name for it is "lncRNA (ENSGAGG00000005035.1)". The record is from RNAcentral. Lineage: Eukaryota; Metazoa; Chordata; Testudines; Testudinidae.
CAAAGAGGCCACGCAGACCUGAGCAGGAGGAAGGAAGGCUGUAGAUCUUCUGUAACUUUCCAGUAAGAACAUGCACCAGGAAACUCUGCAUGAAAUGCUGUUUGCUCUUCUGCUCUGUCUUGCUUGCCUUCUACCUGAGGUCACAAUGGAACAAAAUACUAAGGAAGUCUAUUGUCGCUUCAAUACCACAAUACUGCUGAUGGGGACCAAUCUGAAUGCUUCUUCAGUCUUUAAUGUGGAGUGGCGUGCACAGCUAAAAGGGAGAGAAAAGGUCUCCAUCCUAACAUACUCCCCCGGCUCCAACAACAUCUAUAUUAAUGAAAGUUACAAGAAGAGAGUUGUCUUUUCUCAUACCAGCUUUUCCUUGAUUAUUCAUUAUGUGACUUUAAGCGACGAAGGAGUCUA